ACGGGUGAGUAACACGUAAGUAAUCUACCUCUAGGAUUGGGAUAACCUUGCCAACGCGGGGCUAAUACCGGAUGUGAUCAGGAAGACGCAUGUUUUUUUGAUUAAAGGAGUGAUCCGCUUAGAGAUGAGCUUGCGGCCCAUUAGUUAGUUGGCGGGGUAACGGCCCACCAAGACCGCGAUGGGUAGCCGGCCUGAGAGGGUGUACGGCCACAUUGGGACUGAGAUACGGCCCAGACUCCUACGGGAGGCAGCAGUAGGGAAUUUUGCGCAAUGGACGAAAGUCUGACGCAGCAACGCCGCGUGAGGGAUGAAGGUCUUCGGAUUGUAAACCUCUGUUGGAUGGGAAAAAAGGUAGCAAUAUUUGAUGGUACCAUUCGAGUAAGCACCGGCUAACUACGUGCCAGCAGCCGCGGUAAUACGUAGGGUGCAAGCGUUGUUCGGAAUCACUGGGCGUAAAGGGAGCGUAGGCGGGAUCGUAAGUUAGGAGUUUAAUGCAUGGGCUUAACCCAUGAUCGGCUUUUAAUACUGCGGUUCUUGAGUAUGGGAGAGGGUGAUGGAAUUCCAGGU
RNAcentral lists this ribosomal RNA (567 nucleotides) under uncultured bacterium. RNAcentral describes it as "bacterial SSU rRNA". It matches the Rfam family "Bacterial small subunit ribosomal RNA", at positions 102 to 674 of the family's 1533-position model. The record is from RNAcentral.